GAGUAACACGUAGAUAUCUGCCUUCAGGACGGGACAACUCAGGGAAACUUGUGACUAAUACCCGAUGAGACCACAAGGAAGGGAUUUUUUGUGGCCAAAGGCGGGCAGCAAUGCUCGUGCUGAAAGAUGAGUCUGCGUCCUAUCAGCUAGUUGGUGGGGUAAAUGCCUACCAAGGCUAAGACGGGUAGCCGGCCUGAGAGGGUGAACGGCCACACUGGGACUGAGACACGGCCCAGACUCCUACGGGAGGCAGCAGUGAGGAAUUUUCCGCAAUGGGCGCAAGCCUGACGGAGCGACGCCGCGUGAGGGAUGACAGCUUUCGGGUUGUAAACCUCUUUUAUUAAGGAAAAAGAUCUAUAUGCUAAUAUCAUGUAGAUUUGAUGGUACUUAUUGAAUAAGCCCCGGCUAACUACGUGCCAGCCGCAGC
Molecule: ribosomal RNA, 427 nt
Filed under: uncultured bacterium
Lineage: Bacteria
Description: bacterial SSU rRNA
Rfam family: Bacterial small subunit ribosomal RNA
Source: RNAcentral